GACAUGUAGUCCAAAAUCCUCCAGUACUCUUGGAUGUUAGUUUUCGGGUUUGGUUUCAGGGCAUGGACAACGUCCGGGAAUUGAAUCCCAUCACGGAUGAAGAACACCGGGGUAUUGUUCCCAACAAGAUCAAAGUUCCCCUGAGUUUAUUAAAAACAACAUCAAGAGACAUCAGUGCUGAUUCUAAAGAAACUAUGAGGACAGAUCAAAAAUGGAAACUUGAAGAUCUUAUAGUAAAAUACCUCUCUGGUGUAAAACUUGACAGCAAAACCACGAAUAUCCCUCAUGGUUUCAGGACUGGCACGCUCGUGGACGACGGUGGAGAAACGGACAAUAACGGGAGUCUGAACACCAGGGGCUCUGAGGAAAUCAGCACAAGUGAGGUUUGAAAUGUCAUGGGUAACCUCAAAGAAACCCUUAGCACUGAUUCCUCUGGC
RNAcentral lists this long non-coding RNA (437 nucleotides) under Capsella grandiflora. Its description in RNAcentral is "long non-coding RNA (CGRA_LNC001450)". The record is from RNAcentral. Lineage: Eukaryota; Viridiplantae; Streptophyta; Magnoliopsida; Brassicales; Brassicaceae.